Molecule: ribosomal RNA, 750 nt
Filed under: uncultured bacterium
Lineage: Bacteria
Description: bacterial SSU rRNA
Rfam family: Bacterial small subunit ribosomal RNA
Source: RNAcentral
AUAACACCUGGAAACAGAUGCUAAUACCGCAUAACAACUUGGACCGCAUGGUCCGAGCUUGAAAGAUGGCUUCGGCUAUCACUUUUGGAUGGUCCCGCGGCGUAUUAGCUAGAUGGUGGGGUAACGGCACACCAUGGCAAUGAUACGUAGCCGACCUGAGAGGGUAAUCGGCCACAUUGGGACUGAGACACGGCCCAAACUCCUACGGGAGGCAGCAGUAGGGAAUCUUCCACAAUGGACGAAAGUCUGAUGGAGCAACGCCGCGUGAGUGAAGAAGGGUUUCGGCUCGUAAAACUCUGUUGUUAAAGAAGAACAUAUCUGAGAGUAACUGUUCAGGUAUUGACGGUAUUUAACCAGAAAGCCACGGCUAACUACGUGCCAGCAGCCGCGGUAAUACGUAGGUGGCAAGCGUUGUCCGGAUUUAUUGGGCGUAAAGCGAGCGCAGGCGGUUUUUUAAGUCUGAUGUGAAAGCCUUCGGCUCAACCGAAGAAGUGCAUCGGAAACUGGGAAACUUGAGUGCAGAAGAGGACAGUGGAACUCCAUGUGUAGCGGUGAAAUGCGUAGAUAUAUGGAAGAACACCAGUGGCGAAGGCGGCUGUCUGGUCUGUAACUGACGCUGAGGCUCGAAAGUAUGGGUAGCAAACAGGAUUAGAUACCCUGGUAGUCCAUACCGUAAACGAUGAAUGCUAAGUGUUGGAGGGUUUCCGCCCUUCAGUGCUGCAGCUAAACGCAUUAAGCAUUCCCGCCUGG